ACCCUAUAGCCCUGACUUGCUGAAACUUCAGCAACCGCCAGCAGCCAGGGUUUGCAGGCUGCCGUGGGACUUCCCCAUGCAACCCGCCAGUUCGCACACGCAUCACACCGGCGAACGUUGCCCAUGCGGGUAUUGAUGC
Molecule: non-coding RNA, 139 nt
Organism: Nitrosomonas eutropha C91
Lineage: Bacteria; Pseudomonadati; Pseudomonadota; Betaproteobacteria; Nitrosomonadales; Nitrosomonadaceae
Source: Rfam